RNAcentral lists this long non-coding RNA (644 nucleotides) under Bos taurus (domestic cattle). RNAcentral's name for it is "long non-coding RNA NONBTAT015595". The record is from RNAcentral. Lineage: Eukaryota; Metazoa; Chordata; Mammalia; Artiodactyla; Bovidae.
UUUUUAAGCUCUUAAACUGGGCCUAAUGCUUAGCCAGGAUUAAGAAUAACUGUUCUGGAGGGUAAGUAGAAGCAUUUUCAGUAAACAUGGGUCUUCGUUGUAAUAAAACCUAAGACAAAAGAGGGUUUGCUAUGCCUUUAACAUAAUAAGGCCAGGUUUGUUACUUCUCAUGGGAUAAGGUCAAGGUCAAUUCUUAAGAGACAAGUACAUUUCUCAGGUAGCCUAAAUGGGAGUGGUUUACAAAAGAGAAAUUAACCUCACAUCUGAUUUCAAUAACCUUAGGAGAUAAUAAGUCAUUGCCUGAGGUGGAGAUACCCACAAGCCUCCUUUACCUGCACCUCUCAUCCGUGGACCAGGACUCUUCCUUCUUACCACUUGGAAAACUAGAAGAAAGUAUCAAAGCUUACCUUCUCCACCAGCAGAAAGUGCCAAGGAGACAUCUCUUCAUAUUCAGGAGGCGUUUGAGAUGGCUUAUUUUGUAACAUGUGAGACCAGCCUGGAUCUCAUGGGGCUUUAUUAUUAUGAGGGGCUGGGAGAUGGGUAGCUUGGCUUGAGGAAGGGGCAUGUGAAAAAUACUAUAUAAUGUUAUAGUUAAAACCUAAUGUAAUUGUAACUAAUAUAAUUAAUGUAUAAUGAUUGUUAUU